Molecule: transfer RNA, 487 nt
Filed under: uncultured cyanobacterium
Lineage: Bacteria; Bacillati; Cyanobacteriota
Description: partial contains 16S-23S ribosomal RNA intergenic spacer and 23S ribosomal RNA
Rfam family: tRNA (bases 94-166)
Source: RNAcentral
UUUUCCUGGGCCAUUAGCUCAGGUGGUUAGAGCGCACCCCUGAUAAGGGUGAGGUCCCUGGUUCAAGUCCAGGAUGGCCCAUAUCUCUAUGUUGGGGGUAUAGCUCAGUUGGUAGAGCGCCUGCUUUGCAAGCAGGAUGUCAGCGGUUCGAGUCCGCUUACCUCCACUGAAUACCACCUCUUACAUAUAUUUAAGGAGGGAAAUUGUUUUGAGUCGUGUCCUAAUUUGCUCUGAGCGAAUCUAGCUUCCUAUUUUAUUCUAUAAAUAAGAUGCUGGACUCAUUGAAUUUUUUUUCAUUGUUUUCAGAGAACCUUGACAACUGCAUAGAUUAUUUUUGAAGACAAUAAGCAUCUUUAAUGAUGCAGAUUUAUUAUUUGUGCGAAUGCAUUAAAUAACAAUUCUAUUAAGCUGAUGCUUCAAUUAUUGAAGUUAUUGGUCAAGCUACAAAGGGCUCACGGAGGAUACCUAGGCACACAGAGGCGAUGAA